This 1312-nucleotide ribosomal RNA is filed under the name metagenome. RNAcentral's name for it is "bacterial LSU rRNA". It matches the Rfam family "Bacterial large subunit ribosomal RNA", at positions 1599 to 2925 of the family's 2925-position model. The record is from RNAcentral.
GUCAAGCUUCCAAGAAAAGCCCUAUACCCGUUAAGGCAUGAUGGCCUGUACCCGAAACCGACACAGGUGGGGUGGUAGAGAAUACCGAGGGGCGCGAGGUAACUCUCUCUAAGGAACUCGGCAAAAUGGCCCCGUAACUUCGGGAGAAGGGGUGCCACCGCAAGGUGGUCGCAGUAAGAGGCCCAGGCGACUGUUUACCAAAAACACAGGUCUCCGCUAAGUCGCAAGACGAUGUAUGGGGGCUGACGCCUGCCCAGUGCCGGAAGGUUAAGGAAGCUGGUCAGCGCAAGCGAAGCUGGCGACUGAAGCCCCGGUGAACGGCGGCCGUAACAAUAACGGUCCUAAGGUAGCGAAAUUCCCUGUCGGGUAAGUUCCGACCCGCACGAAAGGCGUAACGAUCUGGGCGCUGUCUCGGAGAGAGGCUCGGCGAAAUAGAAUUGUCUGUGAAGAUGCGGACUACGUGCACCCGGACAGAAAGACCCUAUGAAGCUUUACUGUAGCUUGGUAUUGUGCCCGGGCUCUGAAUGCGCAGGAUAGGUGGGAGGCUUUGAUCCAUGGCUUGCGGGUCAUGGUGAGCCAACGGUGAGAUACCACUCUUUCAGAGCUAGGGUUCUAACGGUCACCCGUCAUCCGGGGACCGGACAGUAUCAGGUGGGCAGUUUGACUGGGGCGGUCGCCUCCUAAAAGGUAACGGAGGCGCGCAAAGGUUUGCUCAGGCUAGUUGGAAAUCAGCCGACGAGUGCAAAAGCAGGAGCAAGCUUGACUGUGAGACCUACAAGUCGAACAGGGACGAAAGUCGGCUUUAGUGAUCCGACGGUUCUGAGUGGAAGGGCCGUCGCUCAACGGAUAAAAGUUACUCUAGGAUAACAGGCUGAUCUCCCCCAAGAGUUCACAUCGACGGGGAGGUUUGGCACCUUGAUGUCGGCUCAUCGCAACCUGGGGCUGAAGUCGGUCCCAAGGGUUGGGCUGUUCGCCCAUUAAAGCGGUACGCGAGCUGGGUUCAGAACGUCGUGAGACAGUUCGGUCCAUAUCCGGUGCACGCGCAGGAACAUUGAGAGGAUUUCUCCCUAGUACGAGAGGACCGGGAGGAACGCACCUCUGGUGUGCCAGUUAUCGUGCCAACGGUAAACGCUGGGUAGCCAUGUGCGGAGUGGAUAACCGCUGAAAGCAUCUAAGUGGGAAGCCCACCUCAAGAUGAGUGUUCCCAUGGCAUAAGCCAGUAAGGUCACGGGAAGAACACCCGUUGAUAGGCUCUACGUGGAAGCCGGGUAACCGGUGAAGCGGAGGAGUACUGAUAGACCGAGGGCUUGAC